Molecule: non-coding RNA, 136 nt
Organism: Triticum aestivum (bread wheat)
Lineage: Eukaryota; Viridiplantae; Streptophyta; Magnoliopsida; Poales; Poaceae
Source: Rfam
AUUCUACUCCCUCCGUUGCAAAAUACAUGCCUUCUAUUUGUCAAAAUAUAUAUGUAUCUAGACAUGUUUUAGUAUAUAGGUACAUCCAUUUUUGGACAAAUGGAAGUCAAGUAUUUUGGAACGGAGGGAGUACACA